CUUCGGAGCAUUUUACGAGGUGGCUGCAUGGUUGUCGUCAGCUCGUGCCGUGAGGUGUCGGGUUAAGUCCCAUAACGAGCGCAACCCUACCUUUAGUUGCCAUCAGGUUAAGCUGGGGACUCUAAAGGAACUGCCUACGCAAGUAGUGAGGAAGGCGGGGGAUGACGUCAAAUCAGCACGGCCCUUACGUCCAGGGCUACACACGUGCUACAAUGGCCGAUACAGAGGGCAGCUACCUGGUGACAGGAUGCAAAUCUCCAAAGUCGGUCUCAGUUCGGAUCGGAGUCUGCAACCCGACUCCGUGAAGUUGGAUUCGCUAGUAAUCGCGCAUCAGCCAUGGCGCGGUGAAUACGUUCCCGGGCCUU
Molecule: ribosomal RNA, 365 nt
Filed under: uncultured Sphingobacteriales bacterium
Lineage: Bacteria; Pseudomonadati; Bacteroidota; Sphingobacteriia; Sphingobacteriales
Description: bacterial SSU rRNA
Rfam family: Bacterial small subunit ribosomal RNA
Source: RNAcentral